AUGGACCAGUACAGCUACGGCGGCGGCGACGGCGACCAGGCCGGCCAGGGCGGGUACGCGACGGUGACGUCGGCGCCGCCCAAGCGGCCGGCGGGGCGGACCAAGUUCCGGGAGACGCGCCACCCGGUGUACCGCGGCGUGCGCCGGCGCGGCGCGGCCGGGCGGUGGGUCUGCGAGGUGCGCGAGCCCAACAAGAAGUCCCGCAUCUGGCUCGGCACCUUCGCCAGCCCCGAGGCCGCCGCCCGCGCCCACGACGUCGCCGCGCUGGCCCUGCGCGGCCGCGCCGCCUGCCUCAACUUCGCCGACUCGGCCACGCUGCUCGCCGUCGACCCCGCCACGCUCCGCACCCCCGACGACAUCCGCGCCGCCGCCAUCGCGCUCGCCGAGACCGCCUGCCCCGCCGCGCCCGUGGCCGCCGAGGCGUCCGCGCCGGCGCCCGCGAUGAUGGCGAUGAUGCAAGAGCCCUCGGCGGUGGAGUAUGACGACUACCCGAUGCAGUACGGCGGCAUUGGGGACUUCGACCAGCAUUCGUACUACUACGACGGGUUGAGCGCCGGCGGCGGCGACUGGCAGAGCAGCUCGCACAUGGACGGAGCCGACGACGACUCAAACUGCGGCGGUGGGUACGGCGCCGGCGAGGUCCCACUUUGGAGCUACUGA
This 660-nucleotide ribosomal RNA is filed under the name Triticum aestivum (bread wheat). RNAcentral's name for it is "partial small subunit ribosomal RNA". Lineage: Eukaryota; Viridiplantae; Streptophyta; Magnoliopsida; Poales; Poaceae. The record is from RNAcentral.